RNAcentral lists this transfer RNA (62 nucleotides) under Anoplocephala magna. RNAcentral describes it as "tRNA-Lys". The record is from RNAcentral. Lineage: Eukaryota; Metazoa; Platyhelminthes; Cestoda; Cyclophyllidea; Anoplocephalidae.
ACCUGUAUAUCUAAGAUUAAGAGCUGGAUUCUUACUUCAGUAAUGUGUUUUCACUAUAGGUU